Molecule: ribosomal RNA, 468 nt
Filed under: uncultured bacterium
Lineage: Bacteria
Description: partial 16S ribosomal RNA
Rfam family: Bacterial small subunit ribosomal RNA
Source: RNAcentral
GACGAACGCUGGCGGCGUGCUUAACACAUGCAAGUCGAACGGUUAUGCUCCAGCGUGCUGGUGUGGAUAAGUGGCGAACGGGUGAGUAACACGUGAGCAACCUGCCCCAGACUCUGGAAUAAGCGCUGGAAACGGCGUCUAAUACUGGAUACGAAACUGGCCCGCAUGGGCUUGGUUUUGAAAGUUGUUCGGUUUGGGAUGGGCUCGCGGCCUAUCAGCUUGUUGGUGAGGUAAUGACUCACCAAGGCGAGGACGGGUAGCCGGCCUGAGAGGGCGACCGGCCACACUGGGACUGAGAGACGGCCCAGACUCCUACGGGAGGCAGCAGUGGGGAAUAUUGCACAAUGGGCGAAAGCCUGAUGCAGCGACGCCGCGUGAGGGAUGACGGCCUUCGGGUUGUAAACCUCUUUCAGCAGGGAAGAAGCGAAAGUGACGGUACCUGCAGAAGAAGCACCGGCUAACUACGUG